This 382-nucleotide ribosomal RNA is filed under the name uncultured bacterium. RNAcentral's name for it is "bacterial SSU rRNA". It matches the Rfam family "Bacterial small subunit ribosomal RNA", at positions 31 to 415 of the family's 1533-position model. The record is from RNAcentral.
GAACGCUGGCGGCAUGCUUUACACAUGCAAGUCGAACGGCAGCACGGGAGCAAUCCUGGUGGCGAGUGGCGAACGGGUGAGUAAUAUAUCGGAACGUGCCUAUUAGUGGGGGAUAACGCAGCGAAAGUUGCGCUAAUACCGCAUACGCCCUGAGGGGGAAAGUGGGGGACCGCAAGGCCUCACGCUAAUAGAGCGGCCGAUAUCUGAUUAGCUAGAUGGUGAGGUAAAGGCUCACCAUGGCUUCGAUCAGUAGCUGGUCUGAGAGGACGAUCAGCCACACUGGGACUGAGACACGGCCCAGACUCCUACGGGAGGCAGCAGUGGGGAAUUUUGGACAAUGGGGGCAACCCUGAUCCAGCAAUGCCGCGUGAGUGAAGAAGGC